Molecule: ribosomal RNA, 253 nt
Filed under: uncultured bacterium
Lineage: Bacteria
Description: partial 16S ribosomal RNA
Rfam family: Bacterial small subunit ribosomal RNA
Source: RNAcentral
UACGGAGGGUGCAAGCGUUGUCCGGAUUUAUUGGGUUUAAAGGGUACGUAGGCGGAUCUUUAAGUCCGUGGUGAAAGCCUGCAGCUUAACUGUAGAACUGCCAUGGAUACUGGAGAUCUUGAAUUCAGUUGAGGUAAGCGGAAUUUAUGAUGUAGCGGUGAAAUGCAUAGAUAUCAUAAAGAACACCUAUUGCGAAGGCAGCUUGCUGGACUUGGAUUGACGCUGAGGUACGAAAGCGUGGGGAGCGAACAGG